AUUCGUUGGAUGAAUGUGAUGCAUUGGAUUGAUUUCGUUCAAUCCGAGCCCCACAUUCAUUCGGGGUUCGU
Molecule: non-coding RNA, 71 nt
Organism: Nicotiana sylvestris (wood tobacco)
Lineage: Eukaryota; Viridiplantae; Streptophyta; Magnoliopsida; Solanales; Solanaceae
Source: Rfam